UUUUAUUAUAUGACAAAUACAUACAUUCAUUGUUUCGAUAUGUCAUACAAAAGGCUGAUAUUCGGCAAACAACUGUAUUUACACUUAGAUGUGGCCUCAUAAUUGCGUCACAAACCACAGGUUGCAGCUUCACGGGCAUGACGGACGGGGCAACCAGUUUUCUACGACUGUUAUUUUUCCUCUGGCGAGCUGAGAUAACUUGGAAACUACAAACCUUGCUGUGAUGCCCAUAACACCCACGAGCGUGCUACAUGCCUGGAGCACCGCUUCACGAGGAAGUAAAUCUGCAUUACCGACGAGACGAGCGGCGAGGCGGCACCGCGGCUCCAGGCGGGGCGGCGGCUCCUCCGACACCCGCGUCAUGCCCUUCAGCUUCCAGCAGCAGACGAGCGGCUGAACAGACACUCCCCGGGAUGACUGAACGACAGCCAGGCUGGACUGAAUGAUCCAGCAGUUGCUGCAGGUGUGGCCAGGUGUUGCAACCCUCCAAUAAGCACCUGUACCAAUCUGGAUAGAGAUGUGUAGUUCACAGUGUAAGGACAAUCCAGUUGUCAGUCAAACAUCUGGCACUGUUCCCCAAAAGAGCUGACAAACUCCGAGCCAAGUUUUUUUUUUUCUUUACACUCUGGCCUAUAGCGCUGGUAGGCUUUCUUCAGGGGCCUGGUGGUCGACCCAAGCCCGUCAUGGCGCAGGCAAGUGUUUAUAGCAGCACCAUUUCUUCUUGGCUCAUGCUGCCCGCCGGAGCUCAUUCUUGAUUCACUUGGACAGUUCCUCUAGAGUUGGGGUUGAUAGGUGAUCUUCAGGACAGCACGUGGGUAGCCUUAUGCCACUUGGCAAUGACUGAAAAAUCCCAGGUGGUAGUAGAGAGUUUGAACCCGCAUUGUCCAGAACUUGGUGAACGCAGGACCUGCACACUAACCAUUCAGCCACUGCCUCUCUGUUCCAACAUGAGUAAAAUAUGAGAGGCCAGAAGAGAGUGGUUGAUUUCAAAUGGAGAAGUGUCUAGAUAGGCAGGAGGAAAUAGAUGAAGGAGGGCUGCUCUGGAGUUAACCUGCAUAAGGAAUUAGGACAGUAUAGAGACGAGUAGAACGUUAUGUAAAAAGGGACCACAGUAGAGGUGGAGGCAUGCAGUUAGCAAGCUCAGAAGGGCAAUCAUCAUGAAAAUGUCUAUAGAAGACAGAGGGGCAACAUUGCAGCAAAGUUUGCUAUAGAAGAAGAAAGUUUAGGUUUGACUCCAUCGAGUCCAAAACAACUAUGUGAGUGAAGCCCCUCCUAUAUGAAAUGCGCUCUCCAUACGAGGACAGACAAGGCCCCUGGAUAUCAUUUGUGAGGGGUAAAAAACUGAAAGACUAAUACAGAACACACAACUUCAAAGAAGCUGAUUUAGGAAGAGGUGAGAUGAAAUUAUGAGUUGAGGAUAGACCAAAUAUGUUUAUUGUUUAAGUGGACAGCUGAGUGUAGUCAUAGAAUAGGCAACAGAUGUUCGGAAUUCUAUCCCUCUGUUUUUAUAUCGUGUUUCCUUUCAAGCUGAUCUAUCUAUGCUGUGGUAAUCCUGCCACUGUCUUCCCCUAAACCUCUCAGCACCUGUAUUCUGUACGACUAUUUUAUUUCCCUCUCUGAGGAAAAAGUCAAUUUCUCCGCCUAUCAACUGAACAAAUUCCAUCGUCUAUUCCCUAGUCUUCGACCACACUCAGCAGUCCCCUUCCCCUACACUAAAUAUUCUCUGUCUAUCCUUAACUCAAAACAUUAACUGAAAACUUAUUUCCUCUCUUGCUAAAUCAGAUUCUUCGAGGUUAUGCAUUUGUAUCGUUUUCACCAGUUCUAUUCCCCCUCACACAUGCUGUCCACAUACAAGGGUCUUUUCUGUCCUCAUAUGGAGUAUGACAGAAGUCUUAGACAAAUGGUGGAAAAUUCUAUAGGAUCAAGGUCAUGGGCACGAGAGGAAGUAACAUCUUGGCAUACAUAGAUGCAGCAUCCAGCUUGGAUUGAAAGCUGGGAUGAAGAUAGCAAGAGACAUACAUCAUGGCAGCCACUAAUGGACUGGAGUUGUCCAAGAAACCCCACAAGAAAGCCUACCAUCACUAUUGACCAUUACUGUCAGUAGCCCCAGAGACCCGUGUUUCAGUUAAGAAGAAGAGGUAAAGGAAGAGGAGGUAAAAGAGGAGAGAUGAUGUUCUACAGGAUGGAAGCUGAAGCAAAGAUCGUGAAUGUUGCAAAAUUUGGAAAAAAAAGACUGACUUUCACAAUGUAUACAACAAGCUGAACAUUUUAGAAUACCUUGGAAGAAGGAAGGCUGGGAGGAUCGAGGCAGGCACGGGCAGUAUACUGGCAGGAGUGAGGACAGCACAGCCUUUACCAUGAUUGAGUUCAGAAGAGCAGACUUCAGGGCAGGCUGAUGAUAUACGUGACCCUCUGCAAAAUUUACAUUGAGUCACAUUUUUAUGUAGUAGUACUAUACCCAUCUAUCUCAAUGCCAUGUUCCCUCAAGGGAGCAGUCACAUAUUUUUUUUUUUUGUACGUUGUUGCCUAUUGCGCCGGUAGGCAUCUUCCCGGUGUGGCCUGAUGGUCGGCCCUGCCCGUUCUGGCGCAGGCGAGUGUUUAUAGCGGUGUCAUCUUGCAUUGGCUCAUGCUGCCCCCCGGAACUCGUUCUUGAUUCGCUUGGACGGCUUCCUCUAGAAUCCGGGUUGAUGGGUGGUCUUCAGGACAGCAUGUGGGUAGUUUUAAGCCACUCGGUGGUGACUGAAAAAUCCGAGUGGUAGCGUGGGGACUCGAACCCGCGUCGUCCAUCACGCGGUGAAUGUGGGCCCAGUACGCUACCAGCUCGGCCACCGCCUACCCAAUGGAGUAUGCAUCACACGUGUGGGGGGGUCCACUCACACAGCUCUUCUGGACAGAGUGGAGUCUAAGGCUCUUCAUCUCUUCAGCUCUCCUCCUCCUACUGAUAGCCUUCUACCUCUUAAAAUCUGCCGCGGUGUUGCCUCUCUUUCUAUCUUCUAUCGAUAUUUCCACGCUGACUGCUUUUCUGAACUUGCUAACUGCAUGCCUCCCCCCAUCCCGCGGCCCCGCUGCACACGACUUUCUACUCAUGCUCAUCCCUACAUUGUCCAAACCCCUUAUGCAAGAGUUAACCAGCAUCUUCACUCUUUCAUCCCUCACGCUGGUAAACUCUGGAACAAUCUUCUUUCAUCUGUAUUUCCUCCUGCCUACGACUUGAACUAUUUCUAGAGGAGGGUAUCAGGACACCUCUCCUCUCGAAAUUGAUCUUUCUUUCGGCCACCUCUUUUAAUUAUUUUUUGGGAGCAGCGAGUAGUGGGCUUUUUUUAUUGUUUUCUUUUUUUGUGUGCCCUUGAGCUGCCUCCUUUUGUAAAAAAAAACCACCAUGUCUCCCUGUUCAGUCACUUCCUCUCAGUACACACAUUCUUUCAUCUACCAACUAUUUUGUUCCAUUAAUCAUCUGCUCUAUUGAUCCAUUUCACAAGUGGUCUCCCCCUCUCCUCAGUCCUUCUCUGCAAAGUCUCUUCACAAACUCAUACUUAUUCGUCAUGUGGCCAACCAUCUCAAAGCACCAUGCUUCACAACUCACUGCUUUUGGUGUCACACCUUUACCAAACCUUUUCAUUCAUGCUCUAAUGCCUUCUCCAUCCCACCUCAACACACAAAAUGCAUCUCGCAUUGCUCAUUUCUACUAGUACACACAUUAGUGAUCGGCACGCUACACCACUCAUCCACACCUCUGAUGCAUGAGACAGUUGGGGGGUUAACAGUUUUCUAUAUUACCCUUUUCACAACCAUUAGGGUUUAUUAUGCACAUAGGGCUACCACACCAGUCCUACAAGUCAUCCACACUAUCAUCAAUCCAUUCCAUCCAUUUUCAUCUAUACUCUUGAGGAAAACAAUAAUGCGCCCCCUUCCUUUCCUAUUCCCUUUUCAUCUGCUGCCAUACCAGUCCUUUUCUCUCUGCAUGGCUACAAACUAUUUUUGUCAUUAUUUGAACAAGUCUGUGCACCACACCAUUUCUGGGUUUCACUAAUACCUAGAAAUACCUUUCCUCUCCUGAAUGCUUCUAUAACUUAUUCUCCUUUUUCGUUCUUCAGCCAGUUCAUUUAAAUUCACACAUGCAACAAUAAGGAACUUCCCUUCCUGGGGAGAAUGGAGACCCAGCUCUGCUUGGCAUUUUAUAUCACCCCCACAAGGGGCCACGGGCAGCUAGCAGGACUAGUGCAGUGUUAGUUCCUAAAGGAAAAUGAGUCAUCA
This is a long non-coding RNA of Eriocheir sinensis (Chinese mitten crab), 4254 nucleotides long. RefSeq lists it as uncharacterized. The transcript has 5 exons. The record is from RefSeq and is a predicted model, not a curated record. Lineage: Eukaryota; Metazoa; Arthropoda; Malacostraca; Decapoda; Varunidae.